AGAACGAACGCUGGCGGCAGGCCUCAAACAUGCAAGUCUAGGGGGCGUAGCAAUACGUCACCGGCGGACGGGUGCGUAACACGUGGGAAUGUACUUAUUGGUUCGGAACAACUCAGGGAAACUUGAGCUAAUACCGAAUGUGCCCGAAAGGGGAAAGAUUUAUCGCCAGUAAAUCAGCCCGCGUCCGAUUAGCUAGUUGGUGGGGUAAAGGCUCACCAAGGCAACGAUCGGUAGCUGUUCUGAGAGGAAGAUCAGCCACACUGGGACUGAGACACGGCCCAGACUCCUACGGGAGGCAGCAGUUGGGAAUCUUGGACAUGGGGGAAACCCUGAUCCAGCCAUGCCGCGUGAGUGAUGAAGGCCUUCGGGUUGUAAAACUCUUUCGACGGGGACGAUAAUGACGGUACCCGUAGAAGAAGCUCCGGCUAACUACGUGCCAGCAGCCGC
RNAcentral lists this ribosomal RNA (447 nucleotides) under uncultured bacterium. Its description in RNAcentral is "SSU rRNA". It matches the Rfam family "Bacterial small subunit ribosomal RNA", at positions 26 to 518 of the family's 1533-position model. The record is from RNAcentral.